Molecule: long non-coding RNA, 2457 nt
Organism: Carcharodon carcharias (great white shark)
Lineage: Eukaryota; Metazoa; Chordata; Chondrichthyes; Lamniformes; Lamnidae
Exons: 4
Source: RefSeq, a predicted model, not a curated record
CUGUGGAUUUCCCAUUAAUAUGAUUUGGAUGCCCCUAAAGGGGUGACAGGUUUGAAAAAAAAAACCACUUCAGAUACUUGGUUGACAGACUUAAUGUCUGCUUACUUCAAGUAGCCUUUUGAAAGGCUGAUGGAAAAUUUCUCUGAUAUGAUCUACAUAUUUUCAAACGGCUAUGACCAUGACCCCUUGUGGCUUAUUGCAUGAUUUUAUGAACUUGAAAAUUUGGAAGUAUGUGGCAAUAGAGCUACGCUGCCACUGAAUACAAAAAUGAAGAACCCCUUCCGUUCAAUUUUCUGGACUCAAUAUCAUUCAUUCUAUCUUUAAAGUGGUAUCUUGAAGAGAGCGUAGCAUGAGUGACUUGGGAGCUUGGCUUUCUUUUCCAUUGCUGGUGGAUGGGCCACCGUCAAAGGAAUAAGACUUUGAAUAAUAAGUGAACUGAAAUGCAGGUUUUUAUUCAAAAUACUUAGGGGUAAUGUUAUUGUCAUCAGUAUGGAGAUGAAAAGAGAAGAGAGGUGCAUAGCCAACCAUUCUUCCUAGCUGCAGAAACCUCAGAUGGUCCAUCCAGACUUGACAUUACUGGAUCCACUGGGUGGAUAGCUAACAUAUGAACUGCCUCUACAUGUCUGAGGUGCAAAACCAUCCUUGAGCUGAGACAUUAUCCUGUCAGUGUUUGAGAAGAGAGUAAUCAAGCAUGACUUCACUGACACCUAGAACAGGAAGAUCUCCAGCCUUGUUCCAAACAAGGGAAAACUGACAGCUGCUUUACUGUCUUGCAAUCUCCAUCAAUUUCCCCGAACAGCAGCACCAGCAGUACAAGAAGGUGCUUUCUUUUAUUUUUGGCUUUCACAAGUUGCAAGAAGCAGCCAAUUGUACUUACACAGACAUUUGGGGUCAACACCUAAAGUGCAGUGGCUAAUAUAAUAACUUUUGACCAUUGGCCACAGGUAGGCACAGGUAAAUGAACUGGUAUAGAAUCAAAUUUAGAUCCAGAUUGCCAGAUUUAUGUGGUAGCAUUCUCCUGUCAAGGGUCUUAGAAGCUUGACUUAAGUAUUGGUGGUGAUGCUUCUGAUAAUCAACAUAAGGUUUUGCCAGGCUCCUUUCAAAUAUUAGCACAGAAAAUAAUCUUCCAAAAACUUUUAGCAAAUUAAGGUGAAGGAACGACUGAUGUGUGGAGCUUGGUUUUUAAUUAAAUCCCCUUCCAAUUUUGGAAUAUCCAUAUCAUAUAGACCUUUGAUGAAAGCCAUCCUAAAGAUCAUCUGCUUAUGAUGCAAGCAUGUUUCUCCAAGAACUAUAACUAUUCACUAGCCAAGCCUUUCUUCACUGUGGGAAAGUGAUUGGCUCAGUGUAUGUUUAAUCGCAUGAAGAAUUUUGAUUUCCUUAGCUAGUCAGGGAUUUUGCUGCAAUCUCCGUUUCUAAUUUUCUCUUGGACUCCAAGCAAAUGGGUUAAAUUCAGAAAAUAAUCAAGUGCUCCAAGAGAAUGAUAGACAGCUGUGAUACUGGACACUUUAAUCUCUCUAGAUGCCACAAACUAAUGGGAAUUUUUGACUGAGAUGAUGGGUGGAAACUUAAUGCCUUGACCUCUGAAGGAACAGUGGGACAAUUUUUGGGUCGCAUACCUGACUUCCCGAUUAGUGGGCCUUCCGGUUGCUCUUUACCUGUCAAGGGCCUUAGACAGGCAAACCAAUUGAAAUCACGCCUCUGGGCUCCCUGACCAAUUAGAGAGGGUGGGCAGGAGGAUGCAACCAUUCUGCCAGAGGAAAGAUUUCUAUUUAAAGGAACAACAACAUGUUUCAGCAAAGCCCAGCAGCACUUGGAUUUUUCAGGCAGCAACACUCACAGGAAUGAAGAAGAGAUCUGGGAAGGCUGCCCCAUGGGUGUCUCAUUCCUACCUGGAGGUUCUGUUGCAGAACAUAAGGGGGUUGCAGUGAGGUGAGAAUGGAAGGAUGAGAACAGUCUCUGCAAUCAAGCAGGCAUGGAUGGAAGUGACCAAGGAAGUUGACAGCAGUUAGUGUGUCCCUCCAACCUGGAGACAGUGCAUAAAAAGGAAACAGGACCUCAGGAUGGCAUAACAGGUGGAUGACAUAACACCUUCAGGUGCCAAGACUCACACUCUGACUUGCCCAGGAUUCUCCACAGCCAGCCAUUUCAGAGCAACACAUCUUGCAGCCCCGCUCAUGCCUCUCUCUCCAGGCCGCUCCUCACAUCCCCAACUGAACAACCGACGCUCACACUCACUCACUCUCACCUUCCUGCCAUCUCACACCCAUGCCUCCAUAAUCCUCCUCUAUAAAUGAUAUCCUUCCCUCCUCUCCGCACAAGCCAUUACAAUUGCUCACAGCUUCCUGCUUUCUCUCCCCUGCAGGAGAAGGGAUCACACAAUUUGGCGAGAGGCAGAUUUAUCGGGUGGGGGAGGUAGGGGGGGGGCCAGGCUUCCACUGAAAGUCAGCCACCUGUUAA